RNAcentral lists this long non-coding RNA (2070 nucleotides) under Homo sapiens (human). RNAcentral describes it as "HSALNT0294876". The record is from RNAcentral. Lineage: Eukaryota; Metazoa; Chordata; Mammalia; Primates; Hominidae.
UUGUUCAGAAAGAGCAUGGCACACUUGAGUCUUAGUACCAAUGGCGAGCCUAAGUUUGAGGUUCCACAAAUAAAUAUGCUUUAGGCAGUGAUGACAUUUGGCACCCUACUGCCCAAGCGAGAAACCGGAAAGGUGGGUGAGCCCUCUCUUUUCCUGCUCUGCCCCCCACCCAAUUACUGUGGAUUCCAAUGUUGUGGUAGAGAACAUGGACUUUGCGUCUUUUAACAGACACAGACAGUGUCCCAUCACUGGCUGAUGAAGGGCACAUAAUUUAGCCUCUUUGUGCUUCCUUUACUCUAGAAUAUUUCAGAGCUGUUAAAAGGAUUAAGUGAAAUUAUGCAUAAAAGGGAGUCUCAUAGUGGCUGCUGUUCAAUAGUUCAUUCUCUCUACUGCCGGUGUCCUUUACAUCUGGGUGCUGGAAGCGGCUUUUUGGUGGUAUCCCUAAUUUUUGCCUUUCUCUAUUCCGGUAGUUCUCAAAGUGUUUCUGGACCAGCAGCAUCAGUAUCACCUGGGAGCUUGUUAGAAAUGCAAAUUCUGAUGCAGACCUAUUGAAUCAGAAACUGGAGGUGAAACCCAGCAAUCUGUUAGAAGUAGCUUUCCAGGUGAUUCUGAUGCACAGCAAAAUCUAAGAACUAAUGCUCUAAUCCAUCCUCCAAGCCCAUAUGGCUGCCCCUCUCCACCAUCCAUCUUCACACUGGACCCCAACACAUAAACCCAUCUCUGCUCAGCCAUUCAAACUCCUGUGCAGUCCCCUAAUGUGCCAUACACCCUUUCUUCUGCCAUCCUAUAAGUCCCUUUGGCAUUCUCCCAACCCACCCACCUUCCCCCCGACCUUCAUUCACUUGGCAAAUCCACUCACCCUGUGAAUACCCAUUAGGUCUGGAUCCUCACUUUUGCACACCUUAGUGUAGCACUUCCACUUCUGUUGAUUUGCCUGUUCCCGGAUAGAUUAUGAGUUCCUAGAUGACAUGGACCAGGCUAUACCCUCCCCAGCAUCUAAUGCUAUGGAUGUUUAUUGAAUGAAUGGAUGCAUGCACAUUUUUCUGUUGCCCAAACAGCCAUCAUUUUAACAUUUCACUGUCACUUUGAGUCCGCUUCUUGGCUUAGGGCUGACACCUUACCCAAGGGAAAUCCAUGUCCCGGCUUGCCACCUGUCUGUGAGUUAAGGCCUCUCCUCUCUCAAGACUUUGAAGUUAGAGAGUGUAAGAAUGAGUCAUGCAUGGAAUUAGGGUGUUAGAAAGUUGAGUGGGGACCCAUGGCAAGCAAAGGUACUAGGUAAAGAAGAGAUCCACAAAGACAGAGACACCAAAAGGAACAUCAGCCCUGGACCUGCCUGGUUCCAGAGCUUUUUAGUCCCUGUCCUGGGCCUCUAAUGCUCUCACAAACCCCUCCCUUCCCCAAACUAGAUUGAAAUCUCCCAUCAGAUAGUUGAUGAGUACUCUCUAUUUCUUCAAAGAACUCACAAUUCUAAUUAAUUAUCUAUAUUACUCAGUUAUGUAAUUAUUAAUUUAAUAUCCCUUUUUUUCCUGCUAAGCUUUAUGAGGUCAUAAAGCCAAUCUGUUCUUUCCAUUUUAUCCCUGGUGCUCAGCUCAGUGCCUCACAAAGAAAACUGAACACUUAGCACAGGGGGUCAACACUCCCUACUGAAGGAGGAGGGCAUAGAGGCAAAGGGACUUGUCCAUGGUGUCCUGUGUUUAAGAAAAGGAGGCAAGGCUGGAACAAGACUGGAAUGGGUGGGUCUCACACUUCCCACCAGCUACGCUGUGUGCCGUCCUCCUAGAUGCAAACCUGACUGCACAGAUGUUCGGGCGCUCACAGUGGGAGGCAUCUCCUGGCUGGGCUCAGGCUUGCCGGUGGGACUGCACGGGAUUUGUGCCCACAGACUUUCAAGUGCUGGGUUUCCUUUUCAGCCCCACCACCUCACCCAUGUGCCCGGAGACAGUGACUCUGACGCAGUACAGUUAAUCUGUGCACAGGAAAGAAGAGCUGUUUGAAGAGGUUAUUCGGUAAAUGCAGAGAAUGUCUUUGUAGUAUAAAUUAUUGCUCUAUAUAAAACUGCUUGUAAGUUUU